GGAAAGGGAAGGAACCGAUAGAGAGGGGGCAGAUGCCCUAUUUUGAUGAUUAUGACGAUGAAUGAUUUUUUAUCUUUUGAUUGUAAACAAUUAAUUUUGGAUAAUUUUUAGUUUAUUGAUUUAGAAGUAAGAUUGACAGUAGACUUUUAUAUUUGUUUUUUUUUCUUUUUGAAGUUUUCUAUAUAGGAACCCCACAUGGAAUAAGCAAAACAA
RNAcentral lists this long non-coding RNA (213 nucleotides) under Gossypium raimondii (Peruvian cotton). Its description in RNAcentral is "long non-coding RNA (GRAI_LNC002850)". Lineage: Eukaryota; Viridiplantae; Streptophyta; Magnoliopsida; Malvales; Malvaceae. The record is from RNAcentral.